GGCCCUGUAGCUCAGGUGGAUAGAGCAAGUGAUUCCUAAUCACUGUGCCCGGUGUUCGAGUCACCGCAGGGCCACCA
This 77-nucleotide transfer RNA is filed under the name Deltaproteobacteria bacterium. RNAcentral's name for it is "tRNA-Arg". It matches the Rfam family "tRNA". From Rfam's summary of the family: Transfer RNA (tRNA) molecules are approximately 80 nucleotides in length. Lineage: Bacteria; Pseudomonadati; Myxococcota; Myxococcia. The record is from RNAcentral.